Molecule: ribosomal RNA, 460 nt
Filed under: uncultured bacterium
Lineage: Bacteria
Description: partial 16S ribosomal RNA
Rfam family: Bacterial small subunit ribosomal RNA
Source: RNAcentral
CCUACGGGGAGCAGCAGUGAGGAAUAUUGGUCAAUGGACGAAAGUCUGAACCAGCCAUGCCGCGUGCAGGAAGACGGCUCUAUGAGUUGUAAACUGCUUUUGUACGAGGGUAAACGCAGAUACGCGUAUCUGUCUGAAAGUAUCGUACGAAUAAGGAUCGGCUAACUCCGUGCCAGCAGCCGCGGUAAUACGGAGGAUUCAAGCGUUAUCCGGAUUUAUUGGGUUUAAAGGGUGCGUAGGCGGUCUGAUAAGUUAGAUGUGAAAUCCCGAGGCUCAACUUCGGAAUUGCCUCUGAUACUGUUCGUCUAGAGAGUAGUAGCGGUAGGCGGAAUGUAUGGUGUAGCGGUGAAAUGCUUAGAGAUCAUACAGAACACCGAUUGCGAAGGCAGCUUACCAAGCUACUUCUGACGUUGAGGCACGAAAGCGUGGGGAGCAAACAGGAUUAGAUACCCUUGUAGUC